This 256-nucleotide ribosomal RNA is filed under the name uncultured bacterium. Its description in RNAcentral is "partial 16S ribosomal RNA". It matches the Rfam family "Bacterial small subunit ribosomal RNA", at positions 83 to 339 of the family's 1533-position model. The record is from RNAcentral.
CGGAAUUAGAGACCGGCGCACGGGUGCGUAACGCGUAUGCAAUCUACCUUUCACAGAGGGAUAGCCCAGAGAAAUUUGGAUUAAUACCUCAUAGUAUAUCGAGUUGGCAUCAACAUGAUAUUAAAGUCACAACGGUGAAAGAUGAGCAUGCGUCCCAUUAGUUAGUUGGUAAGGUAACGGCUUACCAAGACUACGAUGGGUAGGGGUCCUGAGAGGGAGAUCCCCCACACUGGUACUGAGACACGGACCAGACUCC